UCAAGUUUCUGUCAUUCAGAUGAGAGGAUAAAUCGAGGUCCCUUCUUCCUGUUCAGAAGGACGUUAAAGAUCUCGGGUCGGUCUUCAAAUCAGUGAAUUUGGCUUCCCGGGCAACAGUCUCUCUCUGGCCAACAGUCCGCCAGAAAAAUCGUUCACACACUCUGUGUGUGUGUGUGUGUGUGUGUGUGUGUGUGUGUGUGUUUGUGUGGAUACUGGGCGCGGAUGCCUCCUGUGAUUCAUUCACAAAAUGCACAAUAACUCAUCUUAACCGUCAAUGUUUUGAAACGCUUUCGGAGUUUUUGAAGUCGUGAUGUGGUGUUAAUUCAAGUGAAAAGAUUAAUAAUGUAAUGUAAUGUUGGGUAAUAAUCAUUGUCAUGGACAUUCAUAAUUAUUCAUUGCAAUGAUUGAUAUCUUUAGUAACAUUACCAAAUAGCGGUGAGUUGGUUGAAAUGUGCUGAUGUUAAAUCCCAUUUCGGUUUGUUCCAGAUGCAACUGUGAGAAUUGUUCCACGGCCGAUGCCUCCAGCGGAUGCUGGUAUCAUCUAUGCCAAUCUGGCCUUAGGAAACAGGAAUGAGCAGGACGGUGAAGCCAGUGAUGGAGAUGGUCCUGUCUACGCCACAGUCAGAGUUUAGUGUGGAGGCCAAUGACCACGACUUGAUUUAUUUCCUCGCUCUAUCAGCUCACCAUCCACUAUAUUCAAUUUCACCUUCAUUCUGACAUCAACGGGGCUCUUACAUCACAUCUCACGCUAACCCACAUAGAGACUGAGUUACAGACUGAGGAAUAAGGAGCGAGGGAGUGAAUGCGUAAGAGUGAGAGAGUUUGUGAGAGAGAAAGAUAAAGGGAGACCGAAUGAGAGACAGAGAGACUGAAUAUGUGAGAUGGAGUGAGAGAUUGAGGGAGGUACUGAGACUGGGAGAGCAAAGGAGAGGGACUGAGAGAGAGAUUGUGAUUGAAUGCGACUGAGCGAUUAAAUGAGAAUGAGUGAGAUACGGAACGAGAGAGAGUACGAUAGAGAGAGACAGAGAAAGAUUGAUUGCAAGAACGUCUGAUUGCGAGAGAAAUUGUGUUAGUGUGAGUGAAAGACUGAGUUAGAUAGACUGAGUCAGAUGGAAAUAAAGAGUGAGAUUCUGUGUGUGAGAGGUCGAGAGAUUGAUUGACGGAGAGUCAGGGUGUGUGAGAGAGAGAAUAAACAAGAUGUGUUGAGGGUGAAUGCUGGAAUGAGAAAUGUUACUGCGUAAUUGAGAGGGUAAUUUAGAGGGGAGAGCACGGAUAGAUUGAUACAGGGAGAGUGGGAGAGGGCAGAUAAACAGUGCGUACGGGAAAGAGGGGCGAGUGAGUCACAGAAAGAGGGAAACAGGGGUAGGGAGACAGAAAUUGAGACGGCGAGAGUGAGAUCGUGAUUGAGAGAUAGAAUGUGGUAGAGAGGGUGAGAGAGGGACAUAAUGAGGGAAAGAAUCAUGUAGGAAAAGAUCAGAGGGAGUAUGACAAGGGAGAGAGAGUAUGUUUGGGUGGAGGUGCGGCGAAGAGAGGGUGUGAGAAUGUGUAACGUUGAGAGAGAAAAAGA
Callorhinchus milii (elephant shark) is the source of this 1567-nucleotide long non-coding RNA. RefSeq lists it as uncharacterized. The transcript has 2 exons. The record is from RefSeq and is a predicted model, not a curated record. Lineage: Eukaryota; Metazoa; Chordata; Chondrichthyes; Chimaeriformes; Callorhinchidae.